UAUAUUAACAUUUUUCGCGACUGUCGUACCUGACCACGCUAUAUUAUCAACGUGUUUGUGCAAGAUUUUUUUCCUCCUCUUGUCUUCAAUCUGAAAUAACUUUUCACUCGUUGCAAGAAAAUCGAUGAAAUUUUCACCAUUUAAAGAGGAUUAGUGUAUGAUCAGAGUGCUGCAAAAGAAUGAUGAUUAUGUUCAUUGAGAGCGCCACUAGAAAAUGUGACAUGAUUCCGGAUUCUAAGUGAACAUACACUCCCGUUCAAAAGUUUGGGGUCACCCCCUCAAAAACAUGUCAUUUUUUUAGGCCCAUAUCUCCGCCAAUUUGCGUCCGAUUUCAAAACUCUAGGUUUCAUUCAAAAGAUAAUAAGUCAAAGAAACUUUGAACAUGAUUUAAAAGAAACUUUUUCAAAAAAAAAUUGUAUGUAAACUUAACCCAAAGUUGCCAAAUUUUCUAAAAAAUGAAUAUAAACUUACGACAGUGUCGCUGGAAGUUGGGUCGACCAAAUUUUAAGAUGAGAGCGGUAAUAUGACCCAUUUUCUAUUAGCUUUCAACUGCUUUUUACAGAACUAAGCUAAAAAAUCUAGAAAAAAAGUUAUUAAGUAAAUUAAUCCUUGAUGUCAUCGGCCAAAAGUUUGGGGUCACUAUCGUAAAACAUGGAAAAGUGAUUUAUUGAUAUCUUUGUCAUCUUUCAUUCAAUUUUAAUUCUUCUUGGAUAUUUGAAACAAAAUGAACGAUAAUUACUGCAUGGACAUUGAACCACACAUAUUUGUUGAAAUUUACAUACUAAAACUUAACGUAAAGUUGCCUCAUUUUUUGAAGCGUGGUAAAAUGUGCUAUCUUUACAUAACAUUUUUAUAUACAAAAAUCGUUAAAUACGUUAAGUUGAAGACAUCAAACGUAAAUUUAGUUAAUUAUCUUUGAAAUGAGCCAAAAAUAAUUAAAAUUGAACUAUAGAUGACGAAGAUAUCACCAAAUCACUUUUCCAUGUUUUACGAUAGUGACCCCAAACUUUUGGCCGAUACAUCAUAUUGAGGGGUGGCCCCAAACUUUUGGUCGAUGACAUCAAGGAUUAAUUUACUUAAUAACUUUUUUUCUAGAUCUUUUAGCUAAGUUCUGUAAAAAGCAGUUGAAAGCUAAUAGAAAAUGAGUCAUAUUACCGCUCUCAUCUUAAAACUUGGUCGACCCAACUUCCAGCGACACUGCCGUAAGUUUAUAUUCAUGUUUUAGAAAAUUUGGCAACUUUGGGUUAAGUUUACAAACAAUUUUUUUUGAAAAAGUUUCUUUUAAAUCAUGUUCAAAGUUUCUUUGACUUAUUAUCUUUUGAAUGAAACCUAGGGUUUUGAAAUCGGACGCAAAUUGGCGGAGAUAUGGGCCUAAAAAAAUUACAUGUUUUUGAGGGGGUGACCCCAAACUUUUGAACGGGAGUGUAUUUUAUUUUGAGAAACUAUUUUAGUUUUUUUAAUGAACAAAACAAUAUUAAUAUGCUUUCGGAAUUCUAGUGAAAGUUACUUCCGAGGUCAUUCGUCGCAUUCAUUCAAGUUUUU
Molecule: long non-coding RNA, 1542 nt
Organism: Aedes albopictus (Asian tiger mosquito)
Lineage: Eukaryota; Metazoa; Arthropoda; Insecta; Diptera; Culicidae
Exons: 3
Source: RefSeq, a predicted model, not a curated record